This 239-nucleotide non-coding RNA is filed under the name Megasphaera elsdenii. Its description in RNAcentral is "T-box sequence". It matches the Rfam family "T-box leader". Rfam says of the family: Uncharged tRNA acts as the effector for transcription antitermination of genes in the T-box leader family. T-boxes are found upstream of many aminoacyl-tRNA synthetase genes and some amino acid biosynthetic genes usually in Gram-positive bacteria. The anticodon of a specific tRNA base pairs to a specifier sequence within the T-box motif, and the NCCA acceptor tail of the tRNA base pairs to a conserved bulge in the T-box antiterminator hairpin. The record is from RNAcentral. Lineage: Bacteria; Bacillati; Bacillota; Negativicutes; Veillonellales; Veillonellaceae.
UGACAUUCGAUGACGAGAAAGAGUACAUUUUUGCGGAAGCGCACAGCGAGCCGGGUAUGGUGAAAGCCGGUGGUGGAAGGAAAAUGGAAAAUCAUCUCUGAGAAUUGCAGUUGAAAUGAGUAAACUGCACCGUCUGAUCCACGUUACAGGAAACGCGUAUGAUAGUACGUUGAAAAGUGCCUUGCUUUUUUGGUGAGGAAUAUUGGGUGGUACCGCGGAUAUAAACUUCCGUCCCUUGU